Molecule: ribosomal RNA, 497 nt
Filed under: uncultured bacterium
Lineage: Bacteria
Description: partial 16S ribosomal RNA
Rfam family: Bacterial small subunit ribosomal RNA
Source: RNAcentral
GAUGAACGCUGGCGGCGUGCCUAAUACAUGCAAGUCGAGCGAACAGACGAGGAGCUUGCUCCUCUGACGUUAGCGGCGGACGGGUGAGUAACACGUGGAUAACCUACCUAUAAGACUGGGAUAACUUCGGGAAACCGGAGCUAAUACCGGAUAAUAUAUUGAACCGCAUGGUUCAAUAGUGAAAGACGGUUUUGCUGUCACUUAUAGAUGGAUCCGCGCCGCAUUAGCUAGUUGGUAAGGUAACGGCUUACCAAGGCAACGAUGCGUAGCCGACCUGAGAGGGUGAUCGGCCACACUGGAGCUGAGACACGCUCCAGACUCCUACGGGAGGCAGCAGUAGGGAAUCUUCCGCAGUGGGCGAAAGCUUGACGGAGCAACGCCGCGUGAGUGAUGAAGGUCUUCGGAUCGUAAAACUCUGUUAUUAGGGAAGAACAAAUGUGUAAGUAACUAUGCACGUCUUGACGGUACCUAAUCAGAAAGCCACGGCUAACUACGUG